Molecule: ribosomal RNA, 387 nt
Filed under: uncultured bacterium
Lineage: Bacteria
Description: bacterial SSU rRNA
Rfam family: Bacterial small subunit ribosomal RNA
Source: RNAcentral
GAUGAACGCUGGCGGCGUGCUUAACACAUGCAAGUCGAACGAUGAACCUCACUUGUGGGGGGAUUAGUGGCGAACGGGUGAGUAACACGUGAGUAACCUGCCCUUGACUCUGGGAUAAGCCUGGGAAACUGGGUCUAAUACCGGAUAUGACUUGUCACCGCAUGGUGGUGGGUGGAAAGCUUUUGUGGUUUUGGAUGGACUCGCGGCCUAUCAGCUUGUUGGUGGGGUAAUGGCCUACCAAGGCGACGACGGGUAGCCGGCCUGAGAGGGUGACCGGCCACACUGGGACUGAGACACGGCCCAGACUCCUACGGGAGGCAGCAGUGGGGAAUAUUGCACAAUGGGCGCAAGCCUGAUGCAGCGACGCCGCGUGAGGGAUGAAGGCCU